Long non-coding RNA from Cavia porcellus (domestic guinea pig), 4179 nucleotides. RefSeq lists it as uncharacterized. The record is from RefSeq and is a predicted model, not a curated record. Lineage: Eukaryota; Metazoa; Chordata; Mammalia; Rodentia; Caviidae. The transcript is spliced from 3 exons.
UGUCCAGCACACGAGAUCAGAUCCUUUAUUGAAAAGGUCAAUCUGUUAGCCAUCUUUCUUAGGUAACAGAGGACCAGCUUCAUACCACAGCCUACAGGUCCUGCUGCCACCCAGAACACCGCAGCCUACGGAAGGUCCCCGGCACCCUGUGUCACCAGCACCAGGGGUCCGGUGGCUUUGCUCCUUGUGGACUCCAGUUCCGGCUCUCAGCAGGAGAUGGGUGGUUUCCCCAAGCUCGGAGGAGCCCCCACGAGGCCCUACAGUCCUUUCCUAGCUGCUAGACCACACUCUCAGCCCAGUAGUUUUCAGUACUGGGAACUGAAACCUGGGACGCCCCACCGCUGAGCUACAUCCCCAGCCCUUUCCACAUCUGAGUCUGAGACAGUCUCACUACAUUGCCCAGGCUGGCCUCCAACUUGGCAAUCCUCCUGCCUCAGCAUCCAGAGUAGCUCAGAUGAAGGGUGUGCACCACCACAGCCGCUCUGUCUCAUGGACUUGGACGCUGGCCUUUGCAGCUGGAGCUUCCAGCUCAUCCUGUGGGUUUUUUUUUUUUUUGUACCGGGGAUGGAACUCACAACCUCUUGUUUGCCAGGCAUGUGCUUAUGCCACUGAGCUAAACCCCUUAACCCCUGUGCUUUUGGUCACUGGUACAUUUCGAGCAUUAUUUGUCUGUUUGGGUUGCAAGCACCAGGAGGUUUUCCUGCCAUUAUGCUCAGUUUGGCUCCAUUCAUCCCACCCAGCAUGGCUGCCAUCUCGUGCCCUGAGCUGGGCGUGGUCCACCCUGGCGAGGGUUCCACUAACACUGGCGUGGCGUCUGGAGCUCGAAGUGGGGUGGUCAGGUCCACCCGUAGCAACUGCACAUUGCUAUGGAAAUCACCUGGGUGAGUCCUGAGAAAACUAAACCUAGAAACCCCGCUGGCCACGACCAUUCUUCAGGGGUGCCCUCCCGAAAGAGGGAUGUGGUGUCACGGUGCCCAUGCAUGCCCACCGUGGCCCUGGCAGGCAGACCCAGGGUGCAGCAGGGAAUCCGGGCGCCCCCGACAGAUGAGCAGGCGAAGACAAUGCAGUGGGCACCUGGCUCUGCCGCAGGGCGGAUGCGUCUGUAGGAGACCCACACUUUGAGAUGAACCCGAUGCACGGGCUCCGGGGCUGCCCGGCUCCUGCUCCAGUGAGAAACCCAGAGGGACGAUAAAGAGCAGAGUGAAAGAAAACCGGCAGUAGGCAGGCAGGGAGUGGGGUGAAGGGCAAGAACGAGGCCACGUGUCUGGUCCCCCCCAGCUCCCUGCCACGAACUCGAGACUCACCGAAGACGCGGACCCACACAGUCAGCUGGGAACAAUCCGUGCACCCGUGCCGGCCUCUCCUCCAAGCAUUCCAGCCUGUCCUCCACACCUGCCGGCCUGUCCCUCGCACUUGCCAUCCUGUCCCCCACCAUGCUGCCUCUGCCUCCCAUGCGGGAGCCGGGCUGCGCUCCCUGGUGGGUGGGCUCUCUCCAUGGCUUCCUGCUCGGCAGAUGCACUGUCCCUGAUGCCGUGGUCCCCAGCUGCUCUGUGUGACUGGCAUGCACCACAUGUCUGGACACAGGCGUCCAACAGCACGGCCUCCAGUGCCAGCAUCUCCCGUGUCCCUGCCCUGCGACCCAGACCCAGCCUCAGUGGUGUGGGCCUGGCCACUGCUCCGUGCUCGGUGCCCAGUGUGGAGCUGCCCUGUGCCUGCCAGCCACCGGGCUUCCUCAGUCCUCGGCUUCCAGUAGGCAAACCCUGCUGUGCAGGGGGUUUGGCUUCACCACCUGCAGUUCACCCACUCUGGAACUUGCAGGUCUGUGUCUCCUGGGGUUCAGGAUGGCCCCAGCCAAUGCUCCCCGAGCUCCUCUCCUGCGGGGACCCCACUGUCCACGGCUCCCGGCAGCUCUGCUUUCUUCUCGGUCUGCAGUCAGCCAUGCUGCUCCUCAGCGUCACCAUCUGCUGAGCUCUUCUGCCUUUCAAGGGAUCAAACACCACCUCGCACUUACCAGAUAAGCACUUGAGCCACAGCUUAAUCCCCAGCCCCCACUUGAUUUUUGGUUUUUGAGGCAAGGUUUUGCUACAUUGCUUAGGCUGGCCUUGAACUCACUAUGUAGCCCAGGCUGGCUUCAAACUCACAGUGAUCCUCCUGCCUCAGCCUCACACCUGCUGGGAUAACAGGUAUGCACCCUCCCCCCAUCUGGCAGGACGUUUACAUUUUUAAAAAGAUGAUUAAUUACAGCAAAUGGUACACUGCGUGAGCUCCCCUUUAAAUCUCCCCCGCCAAAAGAAACGCAUCCCAGCCACUCCAAGUGAAGCAGCUCCGGAGUCCUUUCCUGAGUCUUUACAAGGUACAGCUGAAAGCACAGUGUCUGUUGCUGCGAGAGCCACCAAAGACACCCGCGGCUGUGUGCUUGCCCAUCUUGCAUAUUCCCGGCCCAGAGGCUGCGGCCUUCCAGCUCCUCCCCAAAGCCCAUGGCACUCUGAAAGGGAAACUUGUGAAUGGAUUCAGAACCCAGAAGUGGCCGGCACAGCACAGCACAGCACAGCUGAAGACCCUCAGCAGAGGACCCAGAGCUGCUUCGGAAAAGAACAGGGCGACAGGGUGAGUCUGCAGCGAGGGGCAGGUUUUUGGAGGAAUCGGGCCAGUGACUUUUAUGUUUAAAAACUGCACUGUCUCUGGUCAUGUCAGGCACUUGCACACUCAAAUGUGCCAAGCUGCCCUGCAGGGAAUGGAACCGGUGUCGGCGGCAGGAACGGCAGGAGGGUUGCACUCACUCAUCUGCUCCGUGGACCCCGAGCCCCGUGUCCCACAAGGUCCAGGUAGCACUGCGCUUCCACUGGACAGUGCUGUGAGCCAUGCAGCGUGAGCACGGUGGGGUCGAGUGACGUGUGUGUGUAGAAACCUCGCUCCGUGUCUCCUGUGCAGGCAUAGGCUGAGCCCCGCAGUGGGGCUGGAGCCCAUGUUUCAGGGACCUCUGUCGCAGGACUCAGUGUGCACCACCAGCGACAGGCGGAGCCGGAAGCACCUCAGCAACAGGUGCCCGCCUCCCAGCAGUGAAACUGCAGCUCCCAUCGACCUCUGUCUCUUGCUCUCCUCCCCACUCGGGGCACACGGCCUAGGCCAAGCAUCUCCGCACCUGCCUGGUGAGGCACAGCAGUCUUGUCCCAGGGGAACACAAACACCUCUGCCCCGACCCGGAGGACAGGCCACUCGGGCACGGGUCCCGAGGAGUUGAGCCUGGGAAUGCAGCUUACAUCCCAGCUCCCACUCGGAGUAAACUGCUCUGCCCCUGCCAUGCACCCGCCUGGCAGCCACCUUUGGCCCUGGGAGUCAGGCAGUAGCUGGGGCUGGGAGCAGUGCUGUGCGGGAAGAAGCCCCACCCUGCAGGAGCUGUGGGAAGGAAAAGGGGGACCUCAGCGGCCUCGGCAGCCCUGUGAGCUGAGCUCCCUGCACUGGGAAGCAAUCACCUCUCGGGCUCAGGACACAGCACACUGCACAUGGUCACCACCCUAGUGACAUUCUGUGCCGCAAGGUGGUGAUUCCCUGGGUGCUGCAAUGACGGGACCAGAGAGAGUGGGUAUUAAGAGGGGUGUGAUGGCACCCCCUCAUCCCAGCACUCGGGAGGCUGAGGCAGGAGGAUCACUGAAACAGUGAGGGGCUGUCGAACGGUGGGGAGGAAGAAUCCACUCUGGUACGGAGAGUUAAGCUCACAGCACCAUGGUGCCACUUGCUAGGCACAAUGUCUGCCUCUCCCCAACCUCACUUUCUCUCAUCUGACAGGGCAAGCGUGAGAGCCUCACCCUGCAGCGUGGUGUGCACGCAAGGGUUAGGUAGCAGGGGCCUUUGCCGAGAGCAGGAGCUGAUGCCAAGAGACUCGGUGGCUGCAGCCCGGUGACUGUCACUCCAUGCAAGGCCGACCAUGAGGCCAUGCCUGAUGGAACAUGGGUCUCACUAUGGAGCCCAGGAUGGCCUCAAACUCACUAUAAUUCUCCUGCCUCAAACUUCCCAGGGCUGAGAUGAUAGGCAUGCACCACCUGACUCUUAAUUCUUUCCAAAAGUAAACCUGGGGAUUUAGCUCAGUGGCAGAAGCACUUGCUUGAGUUCAAUCCCCAGAACAACAACAACAAAAAAACCUAUAAAAUAAAAGUAAACUUUUUACCCUGGGUUAUUAAA